Molecule: ribosomal RNA, 145 nt
Filed under: Salmonella enterica
Lineage: Bacteria; Pseudomonadati; Pseudomonadota; Gammaproteobacteria; Enterobacterales; Enterobacteriaceae
Also listed under: 2 other names
Description: partial 16S ribosomal RNA
Rfam family: Bacterial small subunit ribosomal RNA
Source: RNAcentral
AAAUUGAAGAGUUUGAUCAUGGCUCAGAUUGAACGCUGGCGGCAGGCCUAACACAUGCAAGUCGAACGGUAGCACAGAGAGCUUGCUCUCGGGUGACGAGUGGCGGACGGGUGAGUAAUGUCUGGGAAACUGCCUGAUGGAGGGG